This 63-nucleotide ribosomal RNA is filed under the name Prosthecobacter fusiformis. RNAcentral's name for it is "partial 16S ribosomal RNA". Lineage: Bacteria; Pseudomonadati; Verrucomicrobiota; Verrucomicrobiia; Verrucomicrobiales; Verrucomicrobiaceae. The record is from RNAcentral.
CUGGCUCAGAACGAACGCUGGCGGCGUGGAUAAGACAUGCAAGUCGAACGGGAUAUUUCUGGU